GAGCAUAGCUCAGCUGGUUAGAGCACCUGCCUUACAAGCAGGGGGUCACAGGUUCGAGUCCUGUUGUUCCC
Molecule: transfer RNA, 71 nt
Filed under: human gut metagenome
Also listed under: 4 other names
Rfam family: tRNA
About the family: Transfer RNA (tRNA) molecules are approximately 80 nucleotides in length. Their secondary structure includes four short double-helical elements and three loops (D, anti-codon, and T loops).
Source: RNAcentral